Molecule: ribosomal RNA, 425 nt
Filed under: uncultured bacterium
Lineage: Bacteria
Description: partial 16S ribosomal RNA
Rfam family: Bacterial small subunit ribosomal RNA
Source: RNAcentral
GUGGGGAAUAUUGGACAAUGGGCGCAAGCCUGAUCCAGCCAUGCCGCGUGAGUGAUGAAGGCCUUAGGGUUGUAAAGCUCUUUCAGUGGGGACGAUAAUGACGGUACCCACAGAAGAAGCCCCGGCUAACUUCGUGCCAGCAGCCGCGGUAAUACGAAGGGGGCUAGCGUUGUUCGGAUUUACUGGGCGUAAAGCGCACGUAGGCGGAUCGUUAAGUCGGGGGUGCAAUCCUGGAGCUCAACUCCAGAACUGCCUUCGAUACUGGCGAUCUUGAGUCCGGAAGAGGUGAGUGGAACGCCUAAUGUAGAGGUGGAAUUCGUAGAUAUUAGGAAGAACGCCAGUGGCGAAGGCGGCUCACUGGUCCGGUACUGACGCUGAGGUGCGAAAGCGUGGGGAGCAAACAGGAUUAGAUACCCUUGUAGUCC